CAAUAGCGUAUAUUUAAGUUGCUGCAGUUAAAAGCUCGUAGUUGGAUUUCGGGUGGGAAUGGCCGGUCCGCCGUUUCGGUGUGCACUUGCUACGCCCACCUUGCUGCCGGGGACGUGCUCUUGAGUUCACGCUCGGGACACGGAGUCGGCGAGGUUACUUUGAGUAAAUUAGAGUGUUCAAAGCAGGCCUACGCUCUGAAUACAUUAGCAUGGUAUAACACGAUAGGACUCUGGCCUAUCUUGUUGGUCUGUAGGACCGGAGUAAUGAUUAAGAGGGACAGUCGGGGGCAUUCGUAUUUCAUUGUCAGAGGUGAAAUUCUUGGAUUUAUGAAAGACGAACUACUGCGAAAGCAUUUGCCAAGGAUGUUCUCAUUAA
This 376-nucleotide ribosomal RNA is filed under the name uncultured eukaryote. RNAcentral describes it as "partial 18S ribosomal RNA". It matches the Rfam family "Eukaryotic small subunit ribosomal RNA", at positions 592 to 976 of the family's 1831-position model. The record is from RNAcentral.